AGCCUUCAGUGGCGGCCAUUGCUCUCGCCGCACAAACAAGGCAGGAGAGGAAGUGGAGCUUCGCUUACGUCGCUGCGAGGCAAAAAGUGGGCAGAGCCGGCGAAGGAUAUGAGCUCGUCGGGAGGCGGAGAGGAAGGACACACGCCACAGAGAAGCCAUGCGAACAACAUCGAGGAGAGAGCGCGCCCGAGCCUCGCCGCCCAAACGGUCACCAAAACGGCGAAAAUGGCCAGAAAACAGCACGCCGAGAGGGGCAGACGACAGCGGAUAGUCGCAUCCGAGGGAGUUGGGGUUCCAUUUGGUCGAUAACGCAGUGCGGUAUAGAAGGAUCAGAUCGUCUACCCAAGGAAAAUGGGUUGACGUCGAGGCUACGAAGACGUUGUGGAUGGAUUUGUCCGAUUUUCUCCCCAGAGUAGAAUUAGGAGACAUGGGCUGGUAGGAGGAUUUUUCAAAUUGGGAUCAUAAGAAGACAGCUCUACCCCAUUCAACUGGAUUUCGCUGACAAUGGAGACGACAUUAAAACGUGAAGAUAGCGUUGUUUAACGUGAAGAUGGCAAUUUUUGACAAGCGGAAACCUUAUUUAUUUUUUGACGGCGACUUUUUGUAUGGAUUUUUAAAAAGACUUCGCAACAUCGUGGACAUUGGAACAAAGUUGCUAGCUGUGUCGUGGACCUAAAUUUUCACUGUUUUUGAGAAGCACAAAAUUGGCAACUGUACAUUGGUAUUCAUGCUGUUUUGAAUAAAGUAUGUUCUGUAUUUUUUUU
This is a long non-coding RNA of Hippocampus comes (tiger tail seahorse), 764 nucleotides long. RefSeq lists it as uncharacterized. The record is from RefSeq and is a predicted model, not a curated record. Lineage: Eukaryota; Metazoa; Chordata; Actinopteri; Syngnathiformes; Syngnathidae. The transcript is spliced from 5 exons.